GCCAGUAUGGUGAAAUUGGUAGACGCGCUGGACUCAAAAUCCAGUGAUGGAAACAUCGUGUCGGUUCAAGUCCGACUACUGGCACCA
RNAcentral lists this transfer RNA (87 nucleotides) under Mollicutes bacterium. Its description in RNAcentral is "tRNA-Leu". It matches the Rfam family "tRNA". From Rfam's summary of the family: Transfer RNA (tRNA) molecules are approximately 80 nucleotides in length. Their secondary structure includes four short double-helical elements and three loops (D, anti-codon, and T loops). Further hydrogen bonds mediate the characteristic L-shaped molecular structure. tRNAs have two regions of fundamental functional importance: the anti-codon, which is responsible for specific mRNA codon recognition, and the 3' end, to which the tRNAs corresponding amino acid is attached (by aminoacyl-tRNA synthetases). tRNAs cope with the degeneracy of the genetic code in two manners: having more than one tRNA (with a specific anti-codon) for a particular amino acid; and 'wobble' base-pairing, i.e. permitting non-standard base-pairing at the 3rd anti-codon position. RNAcentral also lists the same sequence under 1 other name. The record is from RNAcentral. Lineage: Bacteria; Bacillati; Mycoplasmatota; Mollicutes.